ACUGUUAAAAGAAUCUUCCUGCUCAGUCAAUGCCAGAGUUCGUUUGGGUCCCUGGGAGCCUGUAUGUAUAUUACAGUCAUGGAUUGAUUAGGCCCUGUACACAGAUCUCUGAAUCACGCUGAGAUAACUAUUACAUAAGUUGGUUUUUAAUGGAAAAAAAAAUCACUAGAAAUCUGUCAUGGUUCUUUAGCUAACAAAAAACAAAACAAAAACAAACAAAACACCAACACACAAACAAACAAAAACCCCCACAAAAAAACCCCACCACUAAAACCCAAAAAACUCACAUCCAAAACCCCUCUCCAAAAAAAAUCUCACAAAAAACCCAACCAGCCAAACAAAACAAAAAAAAAUGGACGGAAGGCACUACGGCAAAGUCUCAUUAGUUACCGAUGGUUGCUGAAGAGCCUUUAUGAAAAGAAAUGAGACCAAGGAAAGAGUCAUAACAAAAACAAAGAGCUGUUUGGGAAAAUAUUUCUCAUGAAUGCAUGAAAUUCAGUAUAAUGAGCAAAGAGACAAAUACAAAACAUUGACAACUUCCCAUUACAUGCAAGAGAUGAAAGCACAAAUGUCUCUACAGACAGCAACAAAGAACAUUUUAUCACAGUCUGCUUUUGGAUAUGAAUGGCCACAAAAUGAUUGCAUAAGGCACUCCACAAUUUACACCACUGAUGGCAUAACUGACUUACUAAUAGGAUAAAAGGAAUCUGCUUUCACACGUCCAAAUAACAAGCAAAACCUUCAACAAAAUGACUACCUUUCUAACUGCAUCUGUUUCCUACUGGUGACCAACACAGCAACAGGUCUGUUACUUGAGUAAUUUGUUCAUGCUUGGGUGAGUGGAAGACACAAACAGGAGAGGGAAAAUGCAGAGAUCUGGUAAAUUCCAGUUACUGUUUAGCAUUGAACAUCGCUGCUCCAAUUCUGAUUCCACAUCUUCAGGUUUUACAAAAGGCUGUCCAAGAAUUUUUCUCAGAAACAACACAUGGAACAUAACUUUAGAUGUUUUAGCAGAUAAAUUAGCCCAUAUUCACAGGAUAGCUUCAAGGGUAUGAGGCAGCAAAAGCCUGUGACUGGACUUUGCACCUAACAACCAAACUGAGAAGCUGCUAGAAUGCCACGUCAGUGAACAGAACUGCUGCCAUCACAAACUCCAAUGUCAGAAACCACAGAACUUUUACCACCCCAUCCCUAUCUCCAGUGGAGAGGGCAUCUCUGGACCUGCUGGGAAGAUAGAGACGGGAAGCACAGUACAAGAGAUGUUUUUUAUGACAAGACAAAUCCUCCACCCAAACUACCUUGAAAAAUCAACAAUUAGCAGGCAGCUUGGUGUGCUCCCAGCACAUACCUGGGAUGCCAGGCUAAACCACAUAAGCCUUCUGGCCAAGCACAGCAGGUCAAAAUUAGCAGGCAGCCCACACUGGGGGCACCCAGGGGCAGAGGCUGAGACAACCUCAAGGCAGGAAGAUCAGUGUACAGGUGCUGAACAGAACAGUUUCGCCUCCUAAGUGAGUAGCUCAAUUGCACUUGCUCAACUAACUGGCAACCACCAUCAUCUUUUCCUGAUGUACAUGUGACCUCAUUUUUGGUAUAAUUUAUGCAGCUGUUAUUGUCUCUGUGUAUUUUAAUAUAUGAAAAUAUAGACAGAGGUUUAUAUAAAAAUAUACAUUAAAAAUGACAAAGUUUUUUUAAAAAAAGAUGGAGACAAAUAAAACCAGUAUUUCUUUUCACAGGGUUACUGAGUUCCACUUUUCUUGGGGUUUUUUUUUUAAUAAUAAGCAUUAUUCAAUUGCAACCUCUUAAUUUACAGAAACAUUUCUGCAUUUGUAUCAUCACAGCUGAAGAGGCACAGUGUUAGAUGCCAGAAUGAGAGUUGAUAAUACUUCUGCUUUCCUUUAUAAUCCCAUGAAAAUUCAUAUAGAAAUUUAUAGCAAACUUUCA
Long non-coding RNA from Melozone crissalis (California towhee), 1941 nucleotides. RefSeq lists it as uncharacterized. The transcript has 4 exons. The record is from RefSeq and is a predicted model, not a curated record. NCBI's taxonomy places the organism in Eukaryota, Metazoa, Chordata, Aves, Passeriformes, Passerellidae.